Molecule: ribosomal RNA, 471 nt
Filed under: uncultured bacterium
Lineage: Bacteria
Description: bacterial SSU rRNA
Rfam family: Bacterial small subunit ribosomal RNA
Source: RNAcentral
ACUCCUACGGGAGGCAGCAGUGGGGAAUAUUGCACAAUGGGCGCAAGCCUGAUGCAGCCAUGCCGCGUGUGUGAAGAAGGCCUUCGGGUUGUAAAGCACUUUCAGUCGUGAGGAAGGUAGUGUAGUUAAUAGCUGCAUUAUUUGACGUUAGCGACAGAAGAAGCACCGGCUAACUCCGUGCCAGCAGCCGCGGUAAUACGGAGGGUGCGAGCGUUAAUCGGAAUUACUGGGCGUAAAGCGCAUGCAGGUGGUUGUUAAGUCAGAUGUGAAAGCCCGGGGCUCAACCUCGGAAUAGCAUUUGAAACUGGCAGACUAGAGUACUGUAGAGGGGGUAGAAUUUCAGGUGUAGCGGUGAAAUGCGUAGAGAUCUGAAGGAAUACCGGUGGCGAAGGCGGCCCCUGGACAGAUACUGACACUCAGAUGCGAAAGCGUGGGAGCAAACAGGAUUAGAUACCCCGUGGUAGCGACUGA